GCUUCCAGCGCCGCUUGCGCUCCGGAGCGCUGGCUCUGCUGGCGCUGAGAAAUGGACCAAUUUUGACAAGAUAUAGUGCUGCAGCGUGCCUGAUGGGAUAUAUUCAGUCAUGGCAUCCGAACUUUGUAAGACGAUCUCUGUGGCAAGGCUAGAAAAGCACAAGAAUUUGUUCUUAAAUUAUAGGAAUCUGCACCAUUUUCCUUUGGAGUUACUGAAAGAUGAGGGACUGCAGUACUUGGAGAGACUCUAUAUGAAAAGGAACUCCCUGACAUCCUUGCCAGAAAACCUUGCUCAGAAGCUUCCAAACCUUGUGGAACUAUACCUGCACUCAAAUAACAUAGUUGUGGUUCCGGAAGCCAUUGGGUCUCUUGUAAAACUCCAGUGUCUGGAUCUUAGUGACAAUGCCUUAGAAAUUGUUUGCCCAGAAAUUGGUCGUCUGAGAGCUUUACGUCAUCUUCGAUUAGCUAAUAACCAACUGCAAUUCCUACCUCCAGGGGCAGGAUCUCACUCUGUCACCCAGGCUGGAGUGCAGUAAUCGUAGCUCACUGCAGCCUUGACCUC
RNAcentral lists this small RNA (561 nucleotides) under Pan troglodytes (chimpanzee). RNAcentral's name for it is "processed transcript". The record is from RNAcentral. Lineage: Eukaryota; Metazoa; Chordata; Mammalia; Primates; Hominidae.